This 682-nucleotide ribosomal RNA is filed under the name uncultured bacterium. RNAcentral describes it as "bacterial SSU rRNA". It matches the Rfam family "Bacterial small subunit ribosomal RNA", at positions 123 to 806 of the family's 1533-position model. The record is from RNAcentral.
AAUUUACCCGAUAGUGGGGGAUAACCUGGGGAAACUCAGGCUAAUACCGCAUACGUCCUACGGGAGAAAGGGGGCUUUGGCUCCCGCUAUCGGAUGAGCCUAUGCUGGAUUAGCUGGUCGGUGAGGUAAUGGCUCACCAAGGCGACGAUCCGUAGCUGGUCUGAGAGGAUGAUCAGCCACAUCGGGACUGAGACACGGCCCGAACUCCUACGGGAGGCAGCAGUGGGGAAUAUUGGGCAAUGGGGGCAACCCUGAUCCAGCCAUGCCGCGUGUGUGAAGAAGGCCCUCGGGUUGUAAAGCACUUUCAGCGAGGAAGAACGCCUGGCGGUUAAUACCCGCCAGGAAAGACAUCACUCGCAGAAGAAGCACCGGCUAACUCCGUGCCAGCAGCCGCGGUAAUACGGAGGGUGCAAGCGUUAAUCGGAAUUACUGGGCGUAAAGCGCGCGUAGGUGGCUUGAUAAGCCGGUUGUGAAAGCCCCGGGCUCAACCUGGGAACGGCAUCCGGAACUGUCAGGCUAGAGUGCAGGAGAGGAAGGUAGAAUUCCCGGUGUAGCGGUGAAAUGCGUAGAGAUCGGGAGGAAUACCAGUGGCGAAGGCGGCCUUCUGGACUGACACUGACACUGAGGUGCGAAAGCGUGGGUAGCAAACAGGAUUAGAUACCCUGGUAGUCCACGCCGUAAA